CAGUAGCCGCGGUAAUACGAGGGGAGCUAGCGUUGUUCGGAAUUACUGGGCGUAAAGCGCGCGUAGGCGGCUUUUUAAGUCAGAGGUGAAAGCCCGGGGCUCAACCCCGGAAUUGCCUUUGAAACUGGAAAGCUAGAAUCUUGGAGAGGUCAGUGGAAUUCCGAGUGUAGAGGUGAAAUUCGUAGAUAUUCGGAAGAACACCAGUGGCGAAGGCGACUGACUCGACAAGUAUUGACGCUGAGGUGCGAAAGCGUGGGGAGCAAACAGGAUUAGAUACCCCCGUAGUCCCUGUCUCUUAUAC
This 301-nucleotide ribosomal RNA is filed under the name uncultured bacterium. Its description in RNAcentral is "partial 16S ribosomal RNA". It matches the Rfam family "Bacterial small subunit ribosomal RNA", at positions 509 to 807 of the family's 1533-position model. The record is from RNAcentral.